GGUCGCUUAGCUCGAGGGUAGAGCGCACGCUUCGCAUGCGUGAGAUCGUGGGCUCAAUUCCCACAGCGUGUU
This 72-nucleotide transfer RNA is filed under the name Fistulina hepatica ATCC 64428. RNAcentral's name for it is "tRNA-Ala (CGC) (tRNA-Ala-CGC-4-1)". It matches the Rfam family "tRNA". From Rfam's summary of the family: Transfer RNA (tRNA) molecules are approximately 80 nucleotides in length. Their secondary structure includes four short double-helical elements and three loops (D, anti-codon, and T loops). The record is from RNAcentral. Lineage: Eukaryota; Fungi; Basidiomycota; Agaricomycetes; Agaricales; Fistulinaceae.